UCUAAUUUGAAAACGUAAUGAUUUUACGUUCUUCUUUACCUAAUGUUUGCAUGACUCAUGAUGGAUUUCAGGUUUGGCUGAUUUGAUAAUGCCCAUUUGAUCCUUCUUCUAUAUGUAAAUGGCUAAAUUAGGUUUGGGUGAUCUGAGAAUGGCCAUUUGGUCCUUCUGCAAGUAAAUGGGCUGAGUUAGGCUUACCCAUUAUUCACUUUGUACCAGCAUCUUCAUGGAGUCUCUCUCAGUUCAGAUCCACUCUCUUCUAAUCAUUCAUGUCUAUGGCAAACCAUGCUUUCUAUCAGUGAAAUAUCCAGAUAUUGAUUCCUUUUAUUUAUCAUCUCCCCGAGAAAAUGCUGCAGCGAUGCAAGCUGUCAAGUAUAUGAAUCGUUCGUGCAGAAGGUACUUAAAUAUCAUAGCUAAAACGAACUUAGUAAGAAGAAAUAAUCUGAGCAGUGUCGUCGCAUACAAGUGAAUGAGGACAAGAAGAUUAAAGUGGCUGGGAUGAUUUCAUAGGAGGAUCCGAACAACUACAUGAGCCUAUUUCAGCAUGACUUGAACAGGUAAGCUCUUGCAGCUGGAUCUACUAGAUUAGUCUACACAUUAAACAGAACUCUAAUCCAUUAGAAAAUUUGGCUGCCAGCAAGACAAAACAAUCAGACUAUGCUUUGUCUUUCAGAUUCACUCUGAACUCUGAAAACAAGGCCAGAUAAUAUGGUAAUAUCACAGCAACUUUGUUUUGUGUUGUUUUAUGCUUGCUCCUUAUCUUUCCGGUUCCAUUGCAUUGCGAUAAAAGGAUUGUGUGCUGCAACUGAUUUGGGUCAUCUUAUUGUUCAGUUCUAAUCCUGCUGACUGCUCUAAGCUAGAAAUGUAACUAUAUUUUUACUUUUGUUGUUGGAUGGUAAGUAGUAUGCAAAAC
Long non-coding RNA from Lolium rigidum, 910 nucleotides. RefSeq lists it as uncharacterized. The record is from RefSeq and is a predicted model, not a curated record. NCBI's taxonomy places the organism in Eukaryota, Viridiplantae, Streptophyta, Magnoliopsida, Poales, Poaceae. The transcript has 4 exons.